UUUUUUGCUCUCUUCUCUUGGUUGGGUCCGUUUUUGAAUGAAGAAGAGUUUCUUCGAUCGAGAGUGCUGGUGAGGGAAGAUUCAUGUUAAAUAAUCUUAAGAUUAAAUUAAGUGUUUAUCAAUUUCUCUGUAUCGCGACUUUUAGGGUUCAUAGAUAUGUUGUACUGAUCUCUCUAGGGUUUUAUUUUGGUUGGUUUGAAAUCACGGCACGAAACUAGUACAAUCGGCUGGGGGCUUCUUCUCUGCAGGAUGAUUAGAAACUGCGACGGAGGUUUCCGGGAGAGAAUUUUAACCGGAGGUUGAGAGAUUGCAAGGAGACUUUUGGCGAUGAUUGUGUGAAUCUUCUGGGAAGAAGAGAGCGAGGGCGAAGAACUGAUCGGCUUCAUCUUCCAGUAGCCGCCAUCACUGCGCAGUUGAAGAAGAAGAAGAUUUUAGCUUCUUCGUUUGAUUUGUAUCUCUGAACGUGAGGGAAUACUAAUUUCAAAAACAGCAUACAGAGACAUUUGCCUAAUCCGAUCGAAAAUAUCAUAUAUGAUUCUAGUGAUUGAUGGUCUUUGACUCAAUACGUCUUCUUUCUCCACUUCAAAUUCCCCAUCCAUAACUGAGAGCCUAAUUUUGACCACAAAGUUACAACUUUUUUCUAGAUUGGACAGAGAUACUAAGCAAAACCUUCAAUCUGCCCUAAUGUCUAGGAGGAACAAGGGUUUGGCGCAAGAUCUUAAAAGAAUUGUAUAUAAUUGUGCUACAUCCUUUGUCUUCUGAGGUCAUUUCUCGCUAGGCUACUAUAAAUAUAGGAACCAUUCACUCAUGGAAAGUCCACUGUUGUGAAAGCUAUCUCUGGUGUGCAGACUGUUCGUUUUAAGAAUGAAUUUGUGCGUAACAUUACCAUUAAGCUUGGAUAAGCAGAUGCCAAUCUUUACGAAUGUGAGGAUGAGAAAUGCCCUAGACCAAUGUGCUACAAGUCCUACCGAAGUGGAAAGGAA
Molecule: non-coding RNA, 983 nt
Organism: Camelina sativa (false flax)
Lineage: Eukaryota; Viridiplantae; Streptophyta; Magnoliopsida; Brassicales; Brassicaceae
Source: RefSeq, a predicted model, not a curated record